GAUGAACGCUGGCGGCGUGCCUAAUACAUGCAAGUCGAGCGAACGGACGAGAAGCUUGCUUUUCUGAUGUUAGCGGCGGACGGGUGAGUAACACGUGGAUAACCUACCUAUAAGACUGGGAUAACUUCGGGAAACCGGAGCUAAUACCGGAUAAUAUUUUGAACCGCAUGGUUCAAAAGUGAAAGACGGUCUUGCUGUCACUUAUAGAUGGAUCCGCGCUGCAUUAGCUAGUUGGUAAGGUAACGGCUUACCAAGGCAACGAUGCAUAGCCGACCUGAGAGGGUGAUCGGCCACACUGGAACUGAGACACGGUCCAGACUCCUACGGGAGGCAGCAGUAGGGAAUCUUCCGCAAUGGGCGAAAGCCUGACGGAGCAACGCCGCGUGAGUGAUGAAGGUCUUCGGAUCGUAAAACUCUGUUAUUAGGGAAGAACAUAUGUGUAAGUAACUGUGCACAUCUUGACGGUACCUAAUCAGAAAGCCACGGCUAACUACGUGCCAGCAGCCGCGGUAAUACGUAGGUGGCAAGCGUUAUCCGGAAUUAUUGGGCGUAAAGCGCGCGUAGGCGGUUUUUUAAGUCUGAUGUGAAAGCCCACGGCUCAACCGUGGAGGGUCAUUGGAAACUGGAAAACUUGAGUGCAGAAGAGGAAAGUGGAAUUCCAUGUGUAGCGGUGAAAUGCGCAGAGAUAUGGAGGAACACCAGUGGCGAAGGCGACUUUCUGGUCUGUAACUGACGCUGAUGUGCGAAAGCGUGGGGAUCAAACAGGAUUAGAUACCCUGGUAGUCCACGCCGUAAACGAUGAGUGCUAAGUGUUAGGGGGUUUCCGCCCCUUAGUGCUGCAGCUAACGCAUUAAGCACUCCGCCUGGGGAGUACGACCGCAAGGUUGAAACUCAAAGGAAUUGACGGAGACCCGCACAAGCGGUGGAGCAUGUGGUUUAAUUCGAAGCAACGCGAAGAACCUUACCAAAUCUUGACAUCCUUUGACAACUCUAGAGAUAGAGCCUUCCCCUUCGGGGGACAAAGUGACAGGUGGUGCAUGGUUGUCGUCAGCUCGUGUCGUGAGAUGUUGGGUUAAGUCCCGCAACGAGCGCAACCCUUAAGCUUAGUUGCCAUCAUUAAGUUGGGCACUCUAAGUUGACUGCCGGUGACAAACCGGAGGAAGGUGGGGAUGACGUCAAAUCAUCAUGCCCCUUAUGAUUUGGGCUACACACGUGCUACAAUGGACAAUACAAAGGGCAGCGAAACCGCGAGGUCAAGCAAAUCCCAUAAAGUUGUUCUCAGUUCGGAUUGUAGUCUGCAACUCGACUACAUGAAGCUGGAAUCGCUAGUAAUCGUAGAUCAGCAUGCUACGGUGAAUACGUUCCCGGGUCU
RNAcentral lists this ribosomal RNA (1372 nucleotides) under uncultured bacterium. RNAcentral's name for it is "bacterial SSU rRNA". It matches the Rfam family "Bacterial small subunit ribosomal RNA", at positions 28 to 1381 of the family's 1533-position model. The record is from RNAcentral.